RNAcentral lists this transfer RNA (72 nucleotides) under Marmota monax (woodchuck). It matches the Rfam family "tRNA". From Rfam's summary of the family: Transfer RNA (tRNA) molecules are approximately 80 nucleotides in length. Their secondary structure includes four short double-helical elements and three loops (D, anti-codon, and T loops). The record is from Rfam by way of RNAcentral. RNAcentral also lists the same sequence under 2 other names. Lineage: Eukaryota; Metazoa; Chordata; Mammalia; Rodentia; Sciuridae.
AGGGAUGUGGUUCAGUUGUAGAAUGCUUGCUGGUCAUGCAUGAGGUCCUGGGUUCAAUUCCCAGCAUCACAA